Molecule: long non-coding RNA, 167 nt
Organism: Sander lucioperca (pikeperch)
Lineage: Eukaryota; Metazoa; Chordata; Actinopteri; Perciformes; Percidae
Exons: 2
Source: RefSeq, a predicted model, not a curated record
CACGGACCGAAACAAUUGGUACAACACAUCAUAAGUUAAAGUUUUAUCUCUUUACAAAUUGCUCUAGAAAAAAUGUGGGCGCCACUAUACGGAAAGCUGAGUUUGUUCUGAACAAUUUGAUGUUAUGGGCAUCAGUUUUAUGCAAAUACCCUAAAAAGGUGAAUUUA